This 252-nucleotide ribosomal RNA is filed under the name uncultured bacterium. RNAcentral's name for it is "partial 16S ribosomal RNA". It matches the Rfam family "Bacterial small subunit ribosomal RNA", at positions 524 to 776 of the family's 1533-position model. The record is from RNAcentral.
UACGUAGGGGGCAAGCGUUGUCCGGAAUUAUUGGGCGUAAAGCGCGCGCAGGCGGCGAUUUAAGUCUGGUGUUUAAACCAUGGGCUCAACCUGUGGUCGCAUCGGAAACUGGAUGGCUUGAGUGCAGAAGAGGAAAGUGGAAUUCCACGUGUAGCGGUGAAAUGCGUAGAGAUGUGGAGGAACACCAGUGGCGAAGGCGACUUUCUGGGCUGUAACUGACGCUGAGGCGCGAAAGCGUGGGGAGCAAACAGG